Molecule: ribosomal RNA, 253 nt
Filed under: uncultured bacterium
Lineage: Bacteria
Description: partial 16S ribosomal RNA
Rfam family: Bacterial small subunit ribosomal RNA
Source: RNAcentral
UACGUAGGGGGCAAGCGUUGUCCGGAUUUAUUGGGCGUAAAGAGCGUGUAGGCGGCCUGAAAGGUCAGCUGUGAAAACUCGAGGCUCAACCUCGAGACGUCGGUUGAAACCAUCUGGCUAGAGUCCGGAAGAGGAGUGUGGAAUUCCCGGUGUAGCGGUGAAAUGCGUAGAGAUCGGGAGGAACACCUGCGGCGAAAGCGGCUCACUGGACCAUAACUGACGCUGAUGCACGAAAGCUGGGGGAGCAAACAGG